Molecule: unclassified non-coding RNA, 383 nt
Filed under: uncultured fungus
Lineage: Eukaryota; Fungi
Description: partial contains small subunit ribosomal RNA, internal transcribed spacer 1, and 5.8S ribosomal RNA
Rfam family: Eukaryotic small subunit ribosomal RNA (bases 1-73)
Source: RNAcentral
ACAAACUUGGUCAUUUAGAGGAAGUAAAAGUCGUAACAAGGUUUCCGUAGGUGAACCUGCGGAAGGAUCAUUAACACGUAUCCAACGUUAAACCCCCUGUGAAUUUUAUCGCAGCUCUUGCAGGCAACUGCAAUUCGAGCGCUGGAGCAAGCGGCCUAGUUUCCCCAAGCAGUCAGUGUCUGAAAGUGUCUCUGAUUGUGUAAGGAAAACGCUUUGCGAUCACUGGAGGCCGACACGGCCGGUGACUGGGCUGCUGUGGCUUUAUGCCCCCUUUUUAUUAACCCCACUACCUGAACUCGGGUUGCAGGAAACUGCUUCCCCAUUAAAACCGAACAACUGUUAACAAUGGAUAUCUUGGUUCUCGCAUCGAUGAAGAACGCAGC